This is a long non-coding RNA of Hordeum vulgare subsp. vulgare (domesticated barley), 461 nucleotides long. RefSeq lists it as uncharacterized. Lineage: Eukaryota; Viridiplantae; Streptophyta; Magnoliopsida; Poales; Poaceae. The transcript has 2 exons. The record is from RefSeq and is a predicted model, not a curated record.
AUUUAAGCCUGAGAAUAUUGCUAUAGAAUUUGGCGAUUUCCUGUAUGUAUUUACUUGUGGCUAUCGGGGUUGUGUUUGGUUCCCAUCCAAUGCUGACCCUACCAAAUAUUUGGCUCGCCCACUAGAUUUUGAUGUCGUUUGGAUUGGCACCAAAAUUUUGCCAACGGAUUGGCGUCCUGUGGGCGUGGGAUUCGCUCGCCGAAAAUUGGCAUGACUCUUACCCGCUUCUAGUAUGUGGGUGUCGUCUUGUUCUGUAAUGAUAGUAUUUUAAGUGUUCAGUAUGCCGGAUUAAUCGGCAGAGCCCAAUAGGAGUACUGCAAACUGUUUGUUCUUACACAGAACUAUUUGGGGAAGGCGGCCAUGACUCUGUGAGUUUCCUUCUUCUAAGGCAUAUCUUGUACGUAGUUCAGAUGCUACGUUGAUGAGUGAUGGCCAUAUCACGGCUUAGCUGAAAAACAGAC